CCUACGGGUGGCAGCAGUAGGGAAUAUUGCUCAAUGGGGGAAACCCUGAAGCAGCAACGCCGCGUGGAGGAUGAAGGUUUUAGGAUUGUAAACUCCUUUUGUUAGAGAAGAUUAUGACGGUACCUAACGAAUAAGCACCGGGUAACUCCGUGCCAGCAGCCGCUGUAAUACGGGGGGUGCAAGCGUUACUCGGAAUCACUUGGCGUAAAGAGUGCGUAGGCGGGGUAAUAAGUCAGGUGGUAAAGUCUGUAGCUUAACUACAGAACUGCAUUUGAAACUGGUACUCUGGAGUGUGGGAGAGGUAGGUGGAAUGCGUGGUGUAGGGGUAAAAUGCGUAGAGAUCAAGAGGAAUACUCAGUGCGAAGGCGACCUGCUGGAACAUUACUGACGCUGAUGCACGAAAGCGUGGGGAGCAAACAGGAUUAGAUACCCCUGUAGUC
This 440-nucleotide ribosomal RNA is filed under the name uncultured bacterium. RNAcentral describes it as "partial 16S ribosomal RNA". It matches the Rfam family "Bacterial small subunit ribosomal RNA", at positions 338 to 795 of the family's 1533-position model. The record is from RNAcentral.